Molecule: small RNA, 905 nt
Filed under: Pan troglodytes (chimpanzee)
Lineage: Eukaryota; Metazoa; Chordata; Mammalia; Primates; Hominidae
Description: retained intron
Source: RNAcentral
GCAAAGACCCCACCAUGGGCAGCCACAAGUAGGACAGAGGGCUGUGGGUGGGGUGGGCUACAAAUGCCCUGCACCCGGAAUUAUUCCCCUCCCUAAUCAGAAUGUAGGCCAGCUGCAGGGGAAAGGUCUGGCCAGGCUCCCUGAGGGCCUGGGUCUCUUCCAUGUGGCCUGGCCUCACUUGCUAUCCCCCUCACUGGGUCAGGACGCAGCGACUGCUGAGUGGCCCGUGGGUGCCAGGCAGUGGUGUGAGUGGACAAGCACUGGCAGUGGCCCCGGAUGGAAAGCUGCUAUUCAGCGGUGGCCACUGGGAUGGCAGCCUGCGGGUGACUGCACUACCCCGUGGCAAGCUGUUGAGCCAGCUCAGCCGCCACCUUGAUGUAGUAACCUGCCUUGCACUGGACACCUGUGGCAUCUACCUCAUCUCAGGCUCCCGGGACACCACGUGCAUGGUGUGGCGGCUCCUGCAUCAGGGUGGUCUGUCAGUAGGCCUGGCACCAAAGCCUGUGCAGGUCCUGUAUGGGCAUGGGGCUGCAGUGAGCUGUGUGGCCAUCAGCACUGAACUUGACAUGGCUGUGUCUGGAUCUGAGGAUGGAACUGUGAUCAUACACACCGUACGCCGCGGCCAGUUUGUGGCGGCACUACGGCCUCUGGGUGCCACAUUCCCUGGACCUAUUUUCCACCUGGCAUUGGGGUCCGAAGGCCAGAUUGUGGUACAGAGCUCAGCGUGGGAACGUCCUGGGGCCCAGGUAUGGGGAAGGGGUGCCCAGCAAAGAUGGAGGGGCAGUUGGGAUCCUGUCCUUGCUGACACUCCCUGCUUCCUCCAGGUCACCUACUCCUUGCACCUGUAUUCAGUCAAUGGGAAGUUGCGGGCUUCACUGCCCCUGGCAGAGCAGCCUACAGCCCUG